This 253-nucleotide ribosomal RNA is filed under the name uncultured bacterium. RNAcentral's name for it is "partial 16S ribosomal RNA". It matches the Rfam family "Bacterial small subunit ribosomal RNA", at positions 524 to 776 of the family's 1533-position model. The record is from RNAcentral.
UACGAAGGGGGCUAGCGUUGUUCGGAAUUACUGGGCGUAAAGGGCGCGUAGGCGGUUUGACCAGUCAGGUGUGAAAUUCCCGGGCUUAACCUGGGGGCUGCACUUGAUACUGUCAGGCUUGAAUUCGGGAGAGGAUAGCGGAAUUCCCAGUGUAGAGGUGGAAUGCGUAGAUAUCGGGAGGAACACCAGUGGCGAAGGCGGUUACCUGGAGCUUUGCUGACGCUGAUGCGCGAAAGCGUGGGGAGCGAUCCGG